GAUGAACGCUGACAGAAUGCUUAACACAUGCAAGUCUACUUGAACUUCGGUUUGGGUGGCGGACGGGUGAGUAACGCGUAAAGAACUUGACUCACAGUUAGGGACAACAUUUGGAAACGAAUGCUAAUACCUGAUAUUAUGAUUUUAGGGCAUCCUAAGAUUAUGAAAGCUAUAUGCACUGUGAGAGAGCUUUGCGUCCCAUUAGCUAGUUGGAGAGGUAACGGCUCACCAAGGCGAUGAUGGGUAGCCGGCCUGAGAGGGUGAACGGCCACAAGGGGACUGAGACACGGCCCUUACUCCUACGGGAGGCAGCAGUGGGGAAUAUUGGACAAUGGACCAAAAGUCUGAUCCAGCAAUUCUGUGUGCACGAUGACGUUUUUCGGAAUGUAAAGUGCUUUCAGUUGGGAAGAAAAAAAUGACGGUACCAACAGAAGAAGUGACGGCUAAAUACGUGCCAGCAGCCGCGGUAAUACGUAUGUCACAAGCGUUAUCCGGAUUUAUUGGGCGUAAAGCGCGUCUAGGUGGUUAUGUAAGUCUGAUGUGAAAAUGCAGGGCUCAACUCUGUAUUGCGUUGGAAACUGCAUGACUAGAGUACUGGAGAGGUAAGCGGAACUACAAGUGUAGAGGUGAAAUUCGUAGAUAUUUGUAGGAAUGCCGAUGGGGAAGCCAGCUUACUGGACAGAUACUGACGCUAAAGCGCGAAAGCGUGGGUAGCAAACAGG
Molecule: ribosomal RNA, 722 nt
Filed under: uncultured Fusobacterium sp.
Lineage: Bacteria; Fusobacteriati; Fusobacteriota; Fusobacteriia; Fusobacteriales; Fusobacteriaceae
Description: bacterial SSU rRNA
Rfam family: Bacterial small subunit ribosomal RNA
Source: RNAcentral